UCCUACGGGUGGCAGCAGUGGGGAAUUUUGGACAAUGGGCGCAAGCCUGAUCCAGCAAUGCCGCGUGCAGGAAGAAGGCCUUCGGGUUGUAAACUGCUUUUGUACGGAACGAAACGGUCUGGGUUAAUACCUCGGGCUAAUGACGGUACCGUAAGAAUAAGCACCGGCUAACUACGUGCCAGCAGCCGCGGUAAUACGUAGGGUGCAAGCGUUAAUCGGAAUUACUGGGCGUAAAGCGUGCGCAGGCGGUUUUGGAAGACAGGCGUGAAAUCCCCGGGCUCAACCUGGGAAUGGCGCUUGUGACUGCAAAGCUGGAGUGCGGCAGAGGGGGAUGGAAUUCCGCGUGUAGCAGUGAAAUGCGUAGAUAUGCGGAGGAACACCGAUGGCGAAGGCAAUCCCCUGGGCCUGCACUGACGCUCAUGCACGAAAGCGUGGGGAGCAAACAGGAUUAGAUACCCCAGUAGUCCUU
This 469-nucleotide ribosomal RNA is filed under the name uncultured Comamonadaceae bacterium. RNAcentral's name for it is "bacterial SSU rRNA". It matches the Rfam family "Bacterial small subunit ribosomal RNA", at positions 337 to 798 of the family's 1533-position model. Lineage: Bacteria; Pseudomonadati; Pseudomonadota; Betaproteobacteria; Burkholderiales; Comamonadaceae. The record is from RNAcentral.